RNAcentral lists this ribosomal RNA (213 nucleotides) under uncultured bacterium. RNAcentral describes it as "partial 16S ribosomal RNA". It matches the Rfam family "Bacterial small subunit ribosomal RNA", at positions 524 to 730 of the family's 1533-position model. The record is from RNAcentral.
UACGUAGGGGGGCAAGCGUUGUCCGGAUUUAUUGGGCGUAAAGAGCGUGUAGGCGGCCAUUCAGGGUCAGCUGUGAAAACUCGAGGCUCAACCUCGAGACGUCGGUUGAAACCGUUUGGCUAGAGUCCGGAAGAGGAGAGUGGAAUUCCCGGUGAUAGCGGUGAAAUGCGCCAGAUAUCGGGGAAGAACACCCGGUGGCGAAGGCGGCUCUCU